CAUCAAAGAAACAAGAAGUCUGAGGAAUUUCAUACACACACCCCUUUUCCUGCCUCUCAGACUGAGUUCAGGGACCUUCAUUUUGUUUUCCUUCAUGAUUUCUAUUCCCUGACGUGUUCUCAGCUCUCAGAAGCUUUUUUGCAAAAGGCUCUUCUGUGACAUUGGUUUGCCUCCAUGGAGAGAUAUCUAUGUUCCCUCUGUCUGAACAGUGACUGACUUCGUAACUAUCUUAUCCAAUGGAAUACGGCAGAAAGGACACAAUGGGAAAUCUAAGAAAAGAUAUCCCCUGUAGGACCACCUCUUGACAUUGUAACACUGUGGUUUAAUAUCAGAACAACUUCUAAAGAAAAGGCCUCAUAGUUUAAGGUUACAAUUUGAACAGCACAUUUUUUCUUAAAUUACAUUGAAAAAGAAAAUGAACCGUUUUGGAAAGCUGUAUCCUGUACCUGGUUAUGAAACUCAAUAUCUGAAAAGAUGUGAGUACACAUUUGAAAA
Molecule: long non-coding RNA, 495 nt
Organism: Canis lupus familiaris (dog)
Lineage: Eukaryota; Metazoa; Chordata; Mammalia; Carnivora; Canidae
Exons: 3
Source: RefSeq, a predicted model, not a curated record